RNAcentral lists this ribosomal RNA (524 nucleotides) under Simulium tanahrataense. Its description in RNAcentral is "partial 16S ribosomal RNA". It matches the Rfam family "Bacterial large subunit ribosomal RNA", at positions 1815 to 2605 of the family's 2925-position model. Lineage: Eukaryota; Metazoa; Arthropoda; Insecta; Diptera; Simuliidae. The record is from RNAcentral.
ACAUGUCUUUAUAGUAUUUAAUAUAAAGUCUGGCCUGCCCACUGAAUAAUAUUUGAAGGGCCGCAGUAUUUUGACUGUGCAAAGGUAGCAUAAUCAUUAGUCUUUUAAUUGAGGGCUGGUAUGAAUGGUCGGAUGAGAUAUAAGCUGUGUCAAAAAAAUUAUUAUUUGAAUUUAACUUUUUAGUCAAAAGGCUAAAAUAAAUUUAAAAGACGAGAAGACCCUAUAGAGCUUUAUAUAAUAAAUAUUUAAGUUAUUAAGAUUUAUUAAAUUUAAUUUUUGUAUUGUAUUUUGUUGGGGUGACAAUAAAAUUUAUAAAACUUUUAUUUUUAUUUAACAUUAAUUUAUGAUUAUAUGAUCCAAUUUUAUUGAUUAUAAAUUUAAGUUACCUUAGGGAUAACAGCGUAAUUUUUUUUGAGAGUUCUUAUCGACAAAAAAGAUUGCGACCUCGAUGUUGGAUUAAGAGUAAUUUUGGGUGUAGAAGUUCAAAAUUUAAGUCUGUUCGACUUUUAAAUUCUUACAUGAUC